UAAUACGUAGGGGGCGAGCGUUGUCCGGAUUUAUUGGGCGUAAAGAGCUCGUAGGCGGUUCAACAAGUCGGUAGUAAAAGUUCAGGGCUCAACCCUGAAAUGUCUAUCGAUACUGUUGUGACUAGGAUACGGCAGAGGUGAGUGGAAUUCCGAGUGUAGCGGUGAAAUGCGUAGAUAUUCGGAGGAGCACCAAUUGCGAAGGCAGCUCACUGGGCCGCUAUCGACGCUGAGGAGCGAAAGCUAGGGGAGCAAACAGGAUUAGAUACCCUGGUAGUCCUAGCUGUAAACGAUGGAUACUAGACGUAGGAACUGGAUUGACGGUUUCUGUGUCGUAGCUAACGCGUUAAGUAUCCCGCCUGGGGAGUACGGUCGCAAGACUA
Molecule: ribosomal RNA, 380 nt
Filed under: uncultured Actinomycetes bacterium
Lineage: Bacteria; Bacillati; Actinomycetota; Actinomycetes
Description: bacterial SSU rRNA
Rfam family: Bacterial small subunit ribosomal RNA
Source: RNAcentral